Anguilla rostrata (American eel) is the source of this 82-nucleotide small nucleolar RNA. RefSeq annotates it as small nucleolar RNA SNORD35. The transcript has a single exon. The record is from RefSeq and is a predicted model, not a curated record. Lineage: Eukaryota; Metazoa; Chordata; Actinopteri; Anguilliformes; Anguillidae.
UGCAGAUGAUGUUUAUCUCACGAUGGUCUUCCAAGCAUUCGGCUCUGACGACACUGCCUCAUGGCAACACUGAUGCAGCUCA